GAUGAACGCUGGCGGCGUGCUUAACACAUGCAAGUCGAACGGAAAGGCCCAAGCUUGCUUGGGUACUCGAGUGGCGAACGGGUGAGUAACACGUGGGUGAUCUGCCCUGCACUUCGGGAUAAGCCUGGGAAACUGGGUCUAAUACCGGAUAGGACCACUUCUUGGAUGUUGUGGUGGAAAGUUUUUUCGGUGUGGGAUGAGCUCGCGGCCUAUCAGCUUGUUGGUGGGGUAAUGGCCUACCAAGGCGUCGACGGGUAGCCGGCCUGAGAGGGUGUACGGCCACAUUGGGACUGAGAGACGGCCCAGACUCCUAAGGGAGGCAGCAGUGGGGAAUAUUGCACAAUGGGCGCAAGCCUGAUGCAGCGACGCCGCGUGGGGGAUGACGGCCUUCGGGUUGGAAAAUCCUUUCGCUAGGGACGAAGCGUUUUGUGACGGUACCUGGAGAAGAAGCACCGGCUAACUACGUG
This 467-nucleotide ribosomal RNA is filed under the name uncultured bacterium. RNAcentral describes it as "partial 16S ribosomal RNA". It matches the Rfam family "Bacterial small subunit ribosomal RNA", at positions 28 to 507 of the family's 1533-position model. The record is from RNAcentral.